GGCGCGAGUCAUUUAAGCAAAAGUCAUUCUAUUCCUCUGUAAUACUAAUUUUUGUGUUGCACUCCUGACAUGGCACAACUUUUUUUCAAAACACAUCUGUAUCAAAACGGGUUAAUGGACAAGCUUUUAUAUGUAGCUUAAAUCAUCAGUGAUUCACUAAGACAUACUAGUUGAUAUAUAUAAGAAUCUAUGGCAUAUAUCAUCAAAUUGCAAG
Molecule: long non-coding RNA, 214 nt
Filed under: Mytilus galloprovincialis (Mediterranean mussel)
Lineage: Eukaryota; Metazoa; Mollusca; Bivalvia; Mytilida; Mytilidae
Source: RNAcentral